Molecule: non-coding RNA, 23 nt
Filed under: Arabidopsis thaliana (thale cress)
Lineage: Eukaryota; Viridiplantae; Streptophyta; Magnoliopsida; Brassicales; Brassicaceae
Source: RNAcentral
CAGCGCACGGUAGCUUCGCGCCA